This 253-nucleotide ribosomal RNA is filed under the name uncultured bacterium. Its description in RNAcentral is "partial 16S ribosomal RNA". It matches the Rfam family "Bacterial small subunit ribosomal RNA", at positions 524 to 776 of the family's 1533-position model. The record is from RNAcentral.
UACGGGGGGGGCAAGCGUUGUUCGGAAUUACUGGGCGUAAAGGGCUCGUAGGCGGCCAACUAAGUCAUACGUGAAAUCCCUCAGCUUAACUGGGGAACUGCGUGUGAUACUGGAUGGCUUGGAUUUGGGAGAGGGAUGCGGAAUUCCAGGUGUAGCGGUGAAAUGCGUAGAUAUCUGGAGGAACACCGGUGGCGAAGGCGGGUCUCUGGGCCGAUACUGACGCUGAGGAGCGAAAGCGUGGGGAGCGAACAGG